AACUUAUAUUGCUUCCACCGCCUCAAUUAACCUCAACCUGACAUUCUCUCUUUUCGCAUGCCAUAUCUCUCCGCCACAUACUGCUUCAUUUUUCACCCAAAUCUAAAGAAAACAAGUUUGAUACAGGUCGAUAAGUUUGUUGCCUCCUCCCAUAAGAUGCUUCACAUUGCCUUGCCUUUACCUUCAUUCACCUCAUUCUCUUAACCAACUGGAAGCAACCACCGCCACAAAAGACUUUACGGUGGGUUUUGCGUCUAGCUUUUCCACCAGCUGUUUCUAGCUUUUCCACCUAUCCUCAUGGAACAAGAUACCACCUCCUGCUUAGUUUGGAACGCUAAUGGUGUAUUAUUAUUUCUACUCCUUCCAGCUGACCGACACGGUUUUUCACCAACCUCCUAAACCAUCGCCUUUUCCUUCUUUUAUGAUCGCAUCGAUACUUUCUUUCUUUUAUUUGAAACACCCAUCUUUCUUAUACUUCAUGCCUCCUCCAUGGCUCCUGACUUUCCAAAUUUUCAAUCCGUGCCUCCCAACCAUUGGAACAAUAAUUGAUGCCCUUCCUCCGGAAAAUUGACGUCCUUUGCUGAAAUGGUGUAAUAUCACUUGAUCGGAUUUAAAAUCGACAUCUCCCUUUUGAUGGUAUUGUUAUCUUCUUAAUUUGAGUGGUUCGAUUAGACGAGAAAGGGACUCCCCCUUUUCAUCUCAUGAACUAACUUGUCGCUUGUCAGGAUGUAGGUAAUUUUUAUAUCACAAUCUCCAAAAAGCCCUAAUUUGUUUUUUUUCGUUGCCAUACGUAUUGCUUCCUUCAUUUUGGGUCUAUUCAGUGUUUGUACUUCCCCCUCUUCACGCUACCGUCUUAUGAUAUUAAUUAAUCGGUUAUGUUGAGUCAAGAAACUGUGACUACUAUUCCGUGUUCAUCUUUUGCAAGCAAUUCGUUUCUUCUACCCAAUUCAGGUCUUUGGCUUUCAAUUUUGGUUGCUGAUUAACAUGUCUGCCAAAUAGGUAGUUAUCUUAGACCUAACUUACUUUGAUCGCUAUGGGUUAAGGUACCUCUCUGUUUCUUCAUUAACUUUCCAUUUUGGUAGGACUUGUUGAUAUUUUUAAUUGGGGAAAACAAAAUAUUACAACAGUAAAAGGUAAGGAAAUCUCUAUGUUUGUUCUUCAAUUUUGGUUUAUGCCGCAUGGUAGGGAGUCUAAAUGGUUUUCGUGUUUCUGCUUCUUGGGUAUUUUUCUAUUAUUUGUUUGCUUCACUUUCUAGCGGUGUGUGUAUAAAAAAAUUAUACAUUUGAAUUACUGUUACCCAAUUUAUAAGGUUGUAGUUUGGAGGAGUUGAGAUUGUGCAACAUCAAAAUUUUAGAACUGUAUGGCCGAAGAUAUGCAAGUGUACAUACUAGAUCUUAUAUUGUUAGCCUUUAGAAGGUAAUCAUGAAAGGAGAGGAUUUGCAUUUGUUAAAACUAAAAUUAAUGGUCUUCUCUUUAUUGUGAAGAUUCUUAAAGGUUUAUAUAAUAAUCUAAUGGUAAUUAUUGAUUAGGUAAUAGAUGAAUAUUAAAGGAAGCAUGGUUAUUCAUGGAAGAACAUGCAACAAGAUAUCACUGAUCAACGAUUUAUCUUAAUGAUGCUUUAAACAUGUUUCAUGUGCUUAUUAACGGUUAUCAUUUGCAUUGUACUUAUCAAUCUAGCAAUUUUCUUUCAUUUUUACUUCUAGAAUGAAUGUAAGUCGCUAGAUGGAUAAUUCAUAAAAAUUGUUGAAUAUAUCAGUUUAGAUGCUUUGCUUUCUGAAAUACAUCCAUUGUACCUAUUUUUUUAUAGUUCUUUUUUUUUAAAUCAUUGAUCCCUCAACUAUAAAAGAUUUUGAUUCUUCUCAUUUACAUAUAUAUUUUUUAAUGUCUGGUUUACUUCAUAAGUUUCUUAUUCCGAAGUAAUUUUAUUGAUAAAGUUAAUUACAAUAUCAUCAAUCUUUAAAGAGAAGUGGCUUGUUUUUAUUUCUUUAUGGUUGCAAUUUAAAUAAUUUAUUUUAUUUUAUUUUUUUGUAAGUUGUUUGACUUCAACAUGUGUUUAUAUAUUCUUUUUCCUUAAUGAUUACAAUCUGAUUCUUUUUCUUUGGUAGUUGGUAUCCCAUUUUUCAAUCUAACAUGAGAAAGCCAAAAAUUGCCGCCAUGAAGAAGAAAUCAAAUCCGUUGGACUCUCUAGCCCUCACCCAUUCCAACUCCCGAAAUGUCUAUGCCCCAGUUAAAUCAAUUGAAGAAAACACAUUCAAUUCUUCAAUAAAUAUGCUUCCACAACAACAAGAUUCCAAUCAAUUGAAGAAAACACAUUCAAUUCUUCAAUAAAUAUGCUUCCACAACAACAAGAUUCCAAAAUGACAAAACAAGUAUUUGGGUUUGAGGAAUUUUGAUCUUUUCAAAAGGCCUAGAUGUGGGGACAUUGGUACGGUUUAUUUAGCAGAAUUAGUGGGGACAAAUUGUCUUUUUGCUAUUAAGUUUAUGGUUAAUGAGUUUUCAGAAAGAAGAAAGAAAAUGCCUAGGGCACAUACAAAAAGAUAAAUUUGGAUCCAUCCUUUUUUACCCACUUUAUAUGCGCAUUUUGUAUCCGAGAAUUUAUUGUGUUUGGUUAUGGAGUAUUGACCAAGUGGAGAUCUUCAUGUUCUCGGACAAAAAUAAUAGGAUCGAUAUUAUACUGAUCAAGCACCAAGAUUCUAUGUUGCAGAAGUCCUCAUAUUAGAAUAUCUACACAUGCUUGGAAUCGUAUACCAGGAUCUAAAACCUAAAAACAUUUUAUUCAGAGAAGACGGUCACGUCAUGCUAAAUUAUUUAGACCUCUAUCUUCGUUGCACCAUGAAAAUGGGAUGCCACCCGAUGUCUUUGAUAACUCGCUAUGGAGAUUAAUGUAUCCAUCUAAUCUCAUUUCUUUAUUUACUUCUUCCAUUUCAUUCUGAUUUUCUUAUGUUAUUUAUCGCUCUUGUUUUCAAUAUAGAGAUGCAUAUAAAUUGACUUUUAAAAUCCAAAGAUAUAGAAGCAAUGCAAAAUUAUCAAAAUCAGACAAAUAUGGUAUUAAUAUUUAAAGGUGGCUUAAAAUAAGUUUAGUUAAUUUGUUACAACUAAGAAAUAGUAGCCCUAAUUGCAAACUAUCUAACCAAAUUACUAAAGUAAGUACAAACAUUGUUUUUUUCUUUAUUAAAGUUUUCUUCUGCAUAACAGAUAACAGAUUUUAUCAAGAGGAUAAUGUCUUAGUGUAUUUUUUUUUGCAAUGGGCUACUUCUUAUUGAAUGAUGAAAUUAAUUUCCUUACACUAUACUAUUUAACUCACCUUUUCUCUUCAUCUUGAUCCAACAUAGCUUCGAAAUCGGUUCGUUUUUCCCUAAAAUCACAUAAAACUAGCUUAUGGACCAAUUCUUUAGGGUCGUGAUUAUCACGACCCUAAUAAGUUUCCUAGAAUAUAUAUAUAUAUAUAGGUUCGUAUGUUUCUUAUAUUUAUUGUGUGGAAGAAUGUGCCAAUAGGAAUUUAUUAAAAUUAAAUAAUUAUUUAAUUAAAUAAAGAUAGAUAUUAAAUGAUUUUCAUAAU
Lactuca sativa (garden lettuce) is the source of this 3559-nucleotide non-coding RNA. NCBI's taxonomy places the organism in Eukaryota, Viridiplantae, Streptophyta, Magnoliopsida, Asterales, Asteraceae. The record is from RefSeq and is a predicted model, not a curated record.